RNAcentral lists this non-coding RNA (28 nucleotides) under Cricetulus griseus (Chinese hamster). Lineage: Eukaryota; Metazoa; Chordata; Mammalia; Rodentia; Cricetidae. The record is from RNAcentral.
GACUAAGCCCAUUUGGACCAGAAACCCU